AGUGCCAUGGCUUAGCUGGCUAAAGCCCCUGCCUAAUAAACAGGGGAUCCUGGCUUCAACUCCCAGUGGUGCCU
Molecule: transfer RNA, 74 nt
Filed under: Pelodiscus sinensis (Chinese soft-shelled turtle)
Lineage: Eukaryota; Metazoa; Chordata; Testudines; Trionychidae
Rfam family: tRNA
About the family: Transfer RNA (tRNA) molecules are approximately 80 nucleotides in length. Their secondary structure includes four short double-helical elements and three loops (D, anti-codon, and T loops).
Source: Rfam by way of RNAcentral